CCCCUAGACGUUCUGGGCUGCACGCGCGCUACAAUAAUACGCACAGCGAGCAUCACCGAGCUCGAAAGGGCAAGGUAAACAAUAGAAAAGGUACUGUAAUGGUUAUAGAUCCUUGUAAUUAUUGAUCUUCAACGAGGAAUUCCUAGUAAGUAUGUGUCAUCAUCACGCACUGAUUACGUCCCUGCCCUUUGUACACACCGCCCGUCGCUCCUACCGAUUGGGUGAGCCGAUGAAACUCUCGGAUGUAGGCUAUUCAUAGCCCGCAGAAGAGAUUUGAAUCGUAGCGCUUAGAGGAAGGAGAAGUCGUAACA
Molecule: ribosomal RNA, 311 nt
Filed under: uncultured eukaryote
Lineage: Eukaryota
Description: partial 18S ribosomal RNA
Rfam family: Eukaryotic small subunit ribosomal RNA
Source: RNAcentral